This 228-nucleotide long non-coding RNA is filed under the name Nicotiana benthamiana. Its description in RNAcentral is "long non-coding RNA (NBEN_LNC000825)". The record is from RNAcentral. Lineage: Eukaryota; Viridiplantae; Streptophyta; Magnoliopsida; Solanales; Solanaceae.
CUAGAGAGUUCUACUACAUUCUAGGUAGAUACAAGAGUGUUCUAGAGAGUUCUAGAGUGCUCUAGAGAGUUCUAGAGAGCUCUAGAGAGUUCUAGAGAGCUCUAGAGAGUUCUUAGAGAUCUCUAUAAAUCUCUACACCUAGUAGAAUCUACAAGAUAACUCUAAAGGGGUCUAGAGUCUUCCAGGGCCUUCCGGGGCACGCUGGACUGUUCCGGAAGCAUUUUGGAG